AUGAUCUUACUUUCAGGGAUCAUUUCUUGAGUGAGCAUCUUAGCCUCUCGAGGCAAGCAUGACGACCUUCGUCAGUCCGAUGAUAACUGGUUGUGUCUCCUUAUAGCAUGAGAGUGGCAGAGAAUAUUUACCUCUGCAGACGAUGAUUGCUUCCACAGUUGUGGGAGUUGGAAGUCCACUUUCUGAGGACU
This is a small nucleolar RNA of Symsagittifera roscoffensis, 191 nucleotides long. RefSeq annotates it as small nucleolar RNA U3. NCBI's taxonomy places the organism in Eukaryota, Metazoa, Xenacoelomorpha, Acoela, Convolutidae. The transcript has a single exon. The record is from RefSeq and is a predicted model, not a curated record.